GGACAAACACGUAAUUACACUCUUAACUGUCUUUGUGACAGUGACAGUGUUUUGUGUCUGAUACUGUUUGGUAUAUUCUCUUCCCUUUCCUUCUUUCUUUCGAUUCCUGUUGGCUGUUUUUUCAAAUAGUGUCUCCUAUUUCUAUGUAAGGAAAAGCUUCCAUUCACCUCACACCAGAGAGAUAGAGAGAGAGAGAGAGAGAGAGAGAGAGAGAGACUGUGUGUGUGUUUGUGUCUCCCUGCAAUGGUGGUUCCAAGGCUCGGUGGUGGGUUGGAGGAUGGUGGAACCGGGCGUGGAACUAGGCCUAUCUGAACAAAUAACCAUUUCUUCCUUCUUCUAAAAACCACAAGAAAAAAAGUUAUUAUCUAAGAAGAAAAGAGAAAGAUAGUAUCUUUCUUUUAAGCUGAAAGCAAAGUUCUGAUUUUUGAGAGGUACCCUACUUUCAAAUUUGUUAUGUUGUGGGUGGAGUUCCUUCUUUUGUUGUUUAGAGUGAUGAGGCUUUAUUGGGUCUAUAUCUCUUAUACCCUUAUAUGGGUCCAAUCAUCUCAAUGGUGCAAAUGGAUCAAAAGAGUUGAUCUGGUAAAAGAUUAGAAGCCCUUUUGCCAUUGAUGAUUGUGUCAUCUGAUACAGCUGAUGUGUGCUUGGCUUUGUUGUCGAGGCAAAUCUUCUUUGGCAAUAUGGAAGAGGAAUUUCUUUUUCCUUUAUGGCAAUUACUUAUGUUUGAAGAUUAACUGAAAAGGGCAAAUCUCCUUUGGCAGAAAGUUCUUUAAUUUCUUUUGGUUGGAUUCAUUCCAGUAAUAAUAUAUGAAAGUAACUUUUUUUAGGCUGUAAAAGUAGUAUCAUUCAUAUGUGAUUCUUCUAGGAACUCCACCCUUUUUGUAGACAAAAUCCCCUUUGGCUUUUUUUUAUUAUUGGUUUGUUUCCUCCAAUAGCUAGAAAUUUUCAUUCCAGGAAACCACUACUCAAAAAGAGGGAGGAAAGAAAAAAACAGAAACCCAAAAAAAAAAAAGAAUCUGAUAGCUGUAGCUCUAUGAUAUUGUACUUCUGGAAACCUCUCUCAACAGUUUCUUUCUGUGAAAAUAUUCAGUCCAAAUUGGGCAAAUCUCCUUUGGCAUUUCGGAGUCCUUUGUUGACUCCCAUUAUCCUAUAAGGGCAUAUCUCCUUUGGUAUCAAAUCUCCAGGUUCAGUGGUGUAAGAUAAUCUUUUGGAGAUACUUGACUAACCAUCUGUGACAGCAAGAAGAGUCAGUCAGAAAUUGAUUGUACUACACUCAAUUGACCCUCUUGUGAUUAAAGCUAACACUUACACUGGGAUUUGAUAGUUCAA
Arachis duranensis is the source of this 1326-nucleotide long non-coding RNA. RefSeq lists it as uncharacterized. The transcript is spliced from 3 exons. The record is from RefSeq and is a predicted model, not a curated record. NCBI's taxonomy places the organism in Eukaryota, Viridiplantae, Streptophyta, Magnoliopsida, Fabales, Fabaceae.